UACGUAGGGGCUAGCGUUAUCCGGAAUUACUGGGCGUAAAUGGUGCGUAGGUGGUUUCUUAAGUCAGAGGUGAAAGGCUACGGCUCAACCGUAGUAAGCCUUUGAAACUGGGAAACUUGAGUGCAGGAGAGGAGAGUGGAAUUCCUAGUGUAGCGGUGAAAUGCGUAGAUAUUAGGAGGAACACCAGUUGCUAAGGCGGCUCUCUGGACUGUAACUGACACUGAGGCACGAAAGCGUGGGGAGCAAACAGGAUUAGAUACCCCUGUAGUCCCUGAG
This 276-nucleotide ribosomal RNA is filed under the name uncultured prokaryote. RNAcentral's name for it is "partial 16S ribosomal RNA". It matches the Rfam family "Bacterial small subunit ribosomal RNA", at positions 524 to 801 of the family's 1533-position model. The record is from RNAcentral.